GUCGCAAGACCAAAGAGGGGGACCUUCGGGCCUCUUGCCAUCAGAUGUGCCCAGAUGGGAUUAGCUAGUAGGUGGGGUAACGGCUCACCUAGGCGACGAUCCCUAGCUGGUCUGAGAGGAUGACCAGCCACACUGGAACUGAGACACGGUCCAGACUCCUACGGGAGGCAGCAGUGGGGAAUAUUGCACAAUGGGCGCAAGCCUGAUGCAGCCAUGCCGCGUGUAUGAAGAAGGCCUUCGGGUUGUAAAGUACUUUCAGCGGGGAGGAAGG
Molecule: ribosomal RNA, 271 nt
Filed under: Enterobacter bugandensis
Lineage: Bacteria; Pseudomonadati; Pseudomonadota; Gammaproteobacteria; Enterobacterales; Enterobacteriaceae
Also listed under: 1 other name
Description: partial 16S ribosomal RNA
Rfam family: Bacterial small subunit ribosomal RNA
Source: RNAcentral